UCCUACGGGAGGCAGCAGUGGGGAAUAUUGCACAAUGGGCGCAAGCCUGAUGCAGCGACGCCGCGUGAGGGAUGACGGCCUUCGGGUUGUAAACCUCUUUCAGUAGGGAACAAAGCUGCACGUUGUGUGGUUGAGGGUACUUGCAGGAGAAGCGCCGGCUAACUACGUGCCAGCAGCCGCGGUAAUACGUAGGGCGCAAGCGUUAUCCGGAAUUAUUGGGCGUAAAGAGCUCGUAGGCGGUUUGUCGCGUCUGCCGUGAAAGUCCGGGGCUCAACCCCGGAUCUGCGGUGGGUACGGGCAGACUAGAGUGAUGUAGGGGAGACUGGAAUUCCUGGUGUAGCGGUGAAAUGCGCAGAUAUCAGGAGGAACACCGAUGGCGAAGGCAGGUCCCUGGGCAUUAACUGACGCUGAGGAGCGAAAGCAUGGGGAGCGAACAGGAUUAGAUACCCUGGUAGUCCAUGCCGUAAACGUUGGGCACUAGGUGUGGGGGACAUUCCACGUUUUCCGCGCCGUAGCUAACGCAUUAAGUGCCCCGCCUGGGGAGUACGGCCGCAAGGCUAAAACUCAAAUGAAUUGACGGA
RNAcentral lists this ribosomal RNA (581 nucleotides) under uncultured bacterium. RNAcentral's name for it is "bacterial SSU rRNA". It matches the Rfam family "Bacterial small subunit ribosomal RNA", at positions 337 to 917 of the family's 1533-position model. The record is from RNAcentral.